Molecule: long non-coding RNA, 462 nt
Organism: Lycium ferocissimum
Lineage: Eukaryota; Viridiplantae; Streptophyta; Magnoliopsida; Solanales; Solanaceae
Exons: 2
Source: RefSeq, a predicted model, not a curated record
CACAUCCUAUGUAUUACAAUUUUAUCUCUUUUUUUCAGAUAUAUACAAAGCUAAAUUGAAGGAGGUCAUGGUCAUAGCCCGAACAAACAAGUUUUGGACUCAGGCUCAAUUGCUUACUCGUAUGAAAGUGAAGAUAAACAUCAUUCAGGAUUAUGAGAAUGGAAAGGCAAUUCCAAACAAAAAGAUGAUGUCUAAACUAGAGAAAGCUCUUGGACUGAAACUUCAAUGAAAGAAAUAUAGUUUUGUGGUAAAAGUGGAUCAUUGUUGUAUUUUUAAUAAGUCCCAAAAGUGGUCACGUUGUUGAACUUUUCUCUUUAAUGUUUUUCUUUGAUAAUUGUGGUGCUUAUAUAUUUGGAUUAGGAGUUUCUUUAAUUUCUUCCUCUAUUUGGAUUUCUUUUCUCUGUUGUGAUUCUUGAUUUAGUUCAUGAUGCAAAACAAAUGAAAUUUUAUGACUUUUACUUC